Long non-coding RNA from Pteropus alecto (black flying fox), 692 nucleotides. RefSeq lists it as uncharacterized. The record is from RefSeq and is a predicted model, not a curated record. The transcript is spliced from 3 exons. NCBI's taxonomy places the organism in Eukaryota, Metazoa, Chordata, Mammalia, Chiroptera, Pteropodidae.
CUACUUAUAUAGGCACAGAUACAUCAACAGUGUUCUGCUAAAACUCGUUGUAAACUGUAUGUACAUAAAAGGAAUGAACAGUCACUCUCCUAAUAACCAGUUCUCAUCUGUUUCCAGCUUUGGCUCAAGUUAUAGCAACACCAGGAUGCGUGAUGCAGUGAAAACAGCAUGAAGUUGGAGGAAACCAGACCACGAUUUGAAUCCUGGUUCCAGUGCUCGUCGCCUUGAGCAAGGUUUUGUUCCAGUGCUUCACAUGGAUCAUUUAUUUCAUGCCCACAAGACUCUGAUGAGGAUAUUGAGAAGACUCAUAUGAACCCAGAAAAGGAUGCCUUCCAUAUAUCUCAAGAGUCAUCACAACACCACACCAGAAGUAACCAAGAUUCUUACAACUACUCCCGAUGGUUUAGCAGAAUUGGUUCCCAGACAGUCAUCGCUUCCUAAUUUGCAGAAAUUAGUUAUCCCAUCCCAAUCCCACCUCAAGUCCGUCACCUGUGACUGCUGGCCCAGAUUGGAAUCAAAUAUACGAGGGCUUCUGGUUUAGCACAAAAAUGACAAAUCAGCUAACAUUUCCAUUCUGGUAUUUCAUUGUGUUUUAAUUUCAGGUUCUCACAGUUCUUGUCUCAUGAAAGGCAUUUACAGGAAAGCAGGUAGAACUAGAAAUUCCUGCACAACUAUUCCUUGUAUGGGGCAAG